CAGUAGGGAAUCUUCCGCAAUGGACGAAAGUCUGACGGAGCAACGCCGCGUGAGCGAUGAAGGCCUUCGGGUCGUAAAGCUCUGUUUAUAGGGAAGAACAAGUAUCGGAGUACCUGCCGGUACCUUGACGGUACCUAACCAGAAAGCCACGGCUAACUACGUGCCAGCAGCCGCGGUAA
RNAcentral lists this ribosomal RNA (179 nucleotides) under uncultured Bacillus sp. Its description in RNAcentral is "partial 16S ribosomal RNA". It matches the Rfam family "Bacterial small subunit ribosomal RNA", at positions 352 to 523 of the family's 1533-position model. Lineage: Bacteria; Bacillati; Bacillota; Bacilli; Caryophanales; Bacillaceae. The record is from RNAcentral.